RNAcentral lists this ribosomal RNA (346 nucleotides) under uncultured eukaryote. RNAcentral describes it as "SSU rRNA". It matches the Rfam family "Eukaryotic small subunit ribosomal RNA", at positions 594 to 945 of the family's 1831-position model. The record is from RNAcentral.
AUAGCGUAUAUUAAAGUUGUUGCAGUUAAAAAGCUCGUAGUUGAAUUUUAGGCCCGGUUGGAUGGUCUGCUCUAGGGUUUGUACUGUCCUGACUGGGUCUUCCCUUCUGGUGAGCUGUCGUGCUGUUUAUUCAGUGCGGCAGGGAACCAGGACUUUUACUUUGAAAAAAUUAGAGUGUUUAAAGCAGGCAUUCGCUUGAAUACAUUUGCAUGGAAUAAUAGAAUAGGACUUUGGUUCUAUUUUGUUGGUUUCUAGGACCGAAGUAAUGAUUAAUAGGGAUAGUUGGGGGCAUUAGUAUUUAAUCGUCAGAGGUGAAAUUCUUGGAUUUAUGAAAGACUAACUUCUG